RNAcentral lists this ribosomal RNA (1449 nucleotides) under Kocuria rosea. RNAcentral's name for it is "bacterial SSU rRNA". It matches the Rfam family "Bacterial small subunit ribosomal RNA". The record is from RNAcentral. Lineage: Bacteria; Bacillati; Actinomycetota; Actinomycetes; Micrococcales; Micrococcaceae.
GACGAACGCUGGCGGCGUGCUUAACACAUGCAAGUCGAACGAUGAUGCCCAGCUUGCUGGGUGGAUUAGUGGCGAACGGGUGAGUAAUACGUGAGUAACCUGCCCUUGACUCUGGGAUAAGCCUGGGAAACUGGGUCUAAUACUGGAUACUACCUCUCAUCGCAUGGUGGGUGGUGGAAAGGGUUUUACUGGUUUUGGAUGGGCUCACGGCCUAUCAGCUUGUUGGUGGGGUAAUGGCUCACCAAGGCGACGACGGGUAGCCGGCCUGAGAGGGUGACCGGCCACACUGGGACUGAGACACGGCCCAGACUCCUACGGGAGGCAGCAGUGGGGAAUAUUGCACAAUGGGCGGAAGCCUGAUGCAGCGACGCCGCGUGAGGGAUGACGGCCUUCGGGUUGUAAACCUCUUUCAGUAGGGAAGAAGCGAGAGUGACGGUACCUGCAGAAGAAGCGCCGGCUAACUACGUGCCAGCAGCCGCGGUAAUACGUAGGGCGCAAGCGUUGUCCGGAAUUAUUGGGCGUAAAGAGCUCGUAGGCGGUUUGUCGCGUCUGCUGUGAAAGCCCGGGGCUCAACCCCGGGUCUGCAGUGGGUACGGGCAGACUAGAGCGCAGUAGGGGAGACUGGAAUUCCUGGUGUAGCGGUGAAAUGCGCAGAUAUCAGGAGGAACACCGAUGGCGAAGGCAGGUCUCUGGGCUGUUACUGACGCUGAGGAGCGAAAGCAUGGGGAGCGAACAGGAUUAGAUACCCUGGUAGUCCAUGCCGUAAACGUUGGGCACUAGGUGUGGGGGACAUUCCACGUUCUCCGCGCCGUAGCUAACGCAUUAAGUGCCCCGCCUGGGGAGUACGGCCGCAAGGCUAAAACUCAAAGGAAUUGACGGGGGCCCGCACAAGCGGCGGAGCAUGCGGAUUAAUUCGAUGCAACGCGAAGAACCUUACCAAGGCUUGACAUUCACCGGACCGCCCCAGGGAUGGGGUUUCCCUUCGGGGUCGGUGGACAGGUGGUGCAUGGUUGUCGUCAGCUCGUGUCGUGAGAUGUUGGGUUAAGUCCCGCAACGAGCGCAACCCUCGUUCUAUGUUGCCAGCACGUGAUGGUGGGGACUCAUAGGAGACUGCCGGGGUCAACUCGGAGGAAGGUGGGGAUGACGUCAAAUCAUCAUGCCCCUUAUGUCUUGGGCUUCACGCAUGCUACAAUGGCCGGUACAAAGGGUUGCGAUACUGUGAGGUGGAGCUAAUCCCAAAAAGCCGGUCUCAGUUCGGAUUGAGGUCUGCAACUCGACCUCAUGAAGUCGGAGUCGCUAGUAAUCGCAGAUCAGCAACGCUGCGGUGAAUACGUUCCCGGGCCUUGUACACACCGCCCGUCAAGUCACGAAAGUUGGUAACACCCGAAGCCGGUGGCCUAACCCCUUUGUGGGAGGGAGCCGUCGAAGGUGGGACUGGCGAUUGGGACU